AGUUUGAUCCUGGCUCAGGAUGAACGCUGGCGGCGUGCCUAAUACAUGCAAGUCGAACGAAUCUCUUUUAGAGAUGAGUGGCGAACGGGUGAGUAAUACAUAGGUAACCUGCCCCUGUGCGGGGGAUAACAGGAGGAAACUCCUGCUAAUACCGCAUAGCCAUGAGCACCGCAUGGAGCUCAUGCCAAAUAUCCUUUAUGGGAUAGCGCAGGGAUGGACCUAUGGCGCAUUAGCUUGUUGGCGGGGCAACGGCCCACCAAGGCAACGAUGCGUAGCCGGCCUGAGAGGGCGGACGGCCACAUUGGGACUGAGACACGGCCCAGACUCCUACGGGAGGCAGCAGUAGGGAAUUUUCGGCAAUGGGGGAAACCCUGACCGAGCAACGCCGCGUGAGCGAAGAAGGCCUUCGGGUCGUAAAGCUCUGUUGUAAAGGAAGAACGGCGCAUACAGGAAAUGGUAUGCGAGUGACGGUACUUUACCAGAAAGCCACGGCUAACUACGUGCCAGCAGCCGCGGUAAUACGUAGGUGGCGAGCGUUAUCCGGAAUCAUUGGGCGUAAAGAGGGAGCAGGCGGCCGCAAGGGUCUGUGGUGAAAGACCGAAGCUAAACUUCGGUAAGCCAUGGAAACCGGGCGGCUAGAGUGCGGAAGAGGAUCGUGGAAUUCCAUGUGUAGCGGUGAAAUGCGUAGAUAUAUGGAGGAACACCAGUGGCGAAGGCGACGGUCUGGGCCGCAACUGACGCUCAUUCCCGAAAGCGUGGGGAGCAAAUAGGAUUAGAUACCCUAGUAGUCCACGCCGUAAACGAUGGUCACUAAGUGUCGGGGGUCAAACCCCGGUGCUGCAGUCAACGCAAUAAGUGACCCGCCUGAGUAGUACGUUCGCAAGAAUGAAACUCAAAGGAAUUGACG
Molecule: ribosomal RNA, 907 nt
Filed under: uncultured bacterium
Lineage: Bacteria
Description: bacterial SSU rRNA
Rfam family: Bacterial small subunit ribosomal RNA
Source: RNAcentral